GAGACAGCAGCAGCCGCGGGAAUACGUAGGGUGCGAGCGUUAGUCGGAAUUACUGGGCGUAAAGCGUGCGCAGGCGGUUGUGUAAGACAGGUGUGAAAUCCCCGGGCUUAACCUGGGAACUGCGCUUGUGACUGCACAGCUAGAGUAUGGCAGAGGGGGGUGGAAUUCCACGUGUAGCAGUGAAAUGCGUAGAGAUGUGGAGGAACACCGAUGGCGAAGGCAGCCCCCUGGGCCAAUACUGACGCUCAUGCACGAAAGCGUGGGGAGCAAACAGGAUUAGAUACCCCAGUAGUCCCUGUCUCUUAUAC
This 308-nucleotide ribosomal RNA is filed under the name uncultured bacterium. RNAcentral describes it as "partial 16S ribosomal RNA". It matches the Rfam family "Bacterial small subunit ribosomal RNA", at positions 505 to 807 of the family's 1533-position model. The record is from RNAcentral.